Molecule: long non-coding RNA, 920 nt
Filed under: Physcomitrium patens
Lineage: Eukaryota; Viridiplantae; Streptophyta; Bryopsida; Funariales; Funariaceae
Description: long non-coding RNA (PPAT_LNC014608)
Source: RNAcentral
GGAUUUGGAUAGGAUUUGAUUUAGGGUUUAGGGUUUGAUUAGGAUUUGGUUUAGGAUUUAGAGUUUGGAUUAGGAUUUGGUUUAGGAUUUGGUUAGGAUUUGAUUUAGGAUUUAGAGUUUGGUUUAGGGUUUAGAAUUUGGAUUAGGAUUUGGUUAGGGUUUGAUUUAGGGUUUAGGAUUUGGUUUAGGAUUUGGUUAGGAUUUGGUUUAGAAUUUGGUUGGAGUUUGAUUUAGGAUUUAAGAUUCAAUUAGUUUUGGCCUAAAGUUUGAAUGAAGUUCAAUAGGAUUUUAACUAUAAUUAAAUUAAGAUUGAAUUGAGAUGUAUUUGUUUGACAUUUGUGUUCUUUCUAAUGUUUCUUUAAAAAUUCCUAUUGUUGGUUUGAAAUUUCUUUGAGGUUUUUUUGAAUUUGAUUAAGCUUACUUAACAUUAUUAUAGUCUAAUUAGAGUAUUAUUAGUAUUCUAUUAGAAUUAAAAUUUUAUUAUUAUAAUUUCCAUUCUUCCUUCCACAGCCAGGUGCUCUGAGUUUUUUCAAGCAAGACUUCACGUAAUACGACACCAUAUUGGGUGGUUGAAGGAUUUUUUAAUGAGUUAGUCCAAUUGGUAGAUUUUAUGACCAUGAAUUCAGUAUACGUUGUCAUGUUGUAACACGACUAUAUAUUGAAAGAUGAUAAUAUGGAUCUUAUUAUAAAAGAGCCAAGUUAAAAGAAAAGGUAGAAAAAUAUGAAUAAAAGAUAGGAAGGUAGUAAAACUUUUACUAGUAAUGCUGUCCUUUUAAAAAAAAAUAGCUUCUACUUACUUUGUAGGACCAAAAAUAAGAAAAAAUAAGGUAGAUUGAAAAAAUAAAUGAUAUAGACAUCUUUAGGAGGAAAUUAAGAUUAAAUUCUAGUAAAAAUUACUAAAAAAAAACUAGAUGUUGAUA